Molecule: transfer RNA, 64 nt
Filed under: Halyzia sedecimguttata (orange ladybird)
Lineage: Eukaryota; Metazoa; Arthropoda; Insecta; Coleoptera; Coccinellidae
Description: tRNA-Pro
Source: RNAcentral
CAGAGGGUAGUUUUAAGUAUAAAAAUAUUAAUUUUGGAGAUUAAAGAUAUCAAUUUUCCUCUGA